ACCCCGCCGCCAAGUUAGUCCCCGCCCCCUAGGCCGAAGCUCUGGGCCAGCGCAGCCCCCACUCCUCGCCCGCGUACUGGCUUCCGGAGUCGGUCUCACGUGGCCCGGCCCGUGCGCACAGUGGUCCCGCCCCAGAGCGCGAGGCUCCACCUCUCUCGGCAACGGCGCUGCGUGCGCGCGUCGCGCCUCUCACUGAUUUCCGGGGAGGUGCGUGGGGACGCGGAGGUUGGAGCUGGAGGCCCAGAUACAGGGGCUGGCGGGCGGGGCCCGGGAGGACGGCAGAGACCCUUCUGUGCUGGCGGUGGACCGCGCGCCCCCUCCGGAAGGCUGGAAGCCGGGCAACACCAGCACCGCGGGUUAUGGGAAACAGCGAGAGCAGGCCUGGGGCCUGUGAGUGCUGUGUCACGUGCUGUCACCCCCAGUCACCCCUUCCGCAGCAGAGGGGAGCCCAAGGUCUUGGCUUGUACCCUGUGCAGCCUGGCAUCCUGUGAUUAUCGUUCCUUAUAGUGGGCCCAGCUGGCGGCCAGCUCUGUCGCUUACCUUAGCUCUCCUACACCAGCUAACCAGAAGGCGACUGGCAUCACCACCCACUCUGCUACAGCCCCAAAUACAGCCUCUCCCCGACUUAGGAUGUAAAACAUACUAAUAAACCCACCGUGACAUGAAAACAUCA
Molecule: non-coding RNA, 673 nt
Organism: Heterocephalus glaber (naked mole-rat)
Lineage: Eukaryota; Metazoa; Chordata; Mammalia; Rodentia; Bathyergidae
Source: RefSeq, a predicted model, not a curated record